RNAcentral lists this ribosomal RNA (509 nucleotides) under Glomus sp. Glo8. Its description in RNAcentral is "SSU rRNA". It matches the Rfam family "Eukaryotic small subunit ribosomal RNA", at positions 569 to 1078 of the family's 1831-position model. The record is from RNAcentral. Lineage: Eukaryota; Fungi; Glomeromycota; Glomeromycetes; Glomerales; Glomeraceae.
AGCAGCCGUCGGUAAUUCCAGCUCCAAUAGCGUAUAUUAAAGUUGUUGCAGUUAAAAAGCUCGUAGUUGAAUUUCGGGGUUAGUAGGUUGGUCAUGCCUCUGGUAUGUACUGGUCUCACUGAUUCCUCCUUCCUGAUGAGCCGUAAUGCCAUUAAUUUGGUGUUGCGGGGAAUUUGGACUGUUACUUUGAAAAAAUUAGAGUGUUUAAAGCAAGCUAACGCUUGAAUACAUUAGCAUGGAAUAAUGAAAUAGGACGUUCGAUCCUAUUUUGUUGGUUUCUAGGAUUGACGUAAUGAUUAAUAGGGAUAGUUGGGGGCAUUAGUAUUCAAUUGUCAGAGGUGAAAUUCUUGGAUUUAUUGAAGACUAACUACUGCGAAAGCAUUUGCCAAGGAUGUUUUCAUUAAUCAAGAACGAAAGUUAGGGGAUCGAAGACGAUCAGAUACCGUCGUAGUCUUAACCAUAAACUAUGCCGACUAGGGAUCGGAUGAUGUUAAUUUUUUAAUGACUCA